GGGGAGUAGACUGUGGGCAAGACAUGCAUCAAGGGGCCAGAAGCAGGAAUCGAACCCAGGACACCGCAUCAGGAUAAGCCCCUGUAAAUGGGUCGCCUGCUUAAUUCGUUGAGCUAUACAGCUCUUUAUUUAUAGGCAUAAUGAAGGAGAGAUUGGAAGUUCGGGAGUAGACUGUGGGCAAGACAUGCAUCAAGGGGCCAGAAGCAGGAAUCGAACCCAGGACACCGCAUCAGGAUAAGCCCCUGUAAAUGGGUCGCCUGCUUAAUUCGUUGAGCUAUACAGCUCUUUAUUUAUAGGCAUAAUGAAGGAGAGAUUGGAAGUUCGGGAGUAGACUGUGGGCAAGACAUGCAUCAAGGGGCCAGAAGCAGGAAUCGAACCCAGGACACCGCAUCAGGAUAAGCCCCUGUAAAUGGGUCGCCUGCUUAAUUCGUUGAGCUAUACAGCUCUUUAUUUAUAGGCAUAAUGAAGGAGAGAUUGGAAGUUCGGGAGUAGACUGUGGGCAAGACAUGCAUCAAGGGGCCAGAAGCAGGAAUCGAACCCAGGACACCGCAUCAGGAUAAGCCCCUGUAAAUGGGUCGCCUGCUUAAUUCGUUGAGCUAUACAGCUCUUUAUUUAUAGGCAUAAUGAAAUAGAGAUUGGAAGUUGGGGAGUUGCAUCUGGGCAAGACAUACAUCAAGGGACCAGAAGCAGGAAUCGAACCCAGGACGCUGCAUCAGGAAAAGCCCCUGUAAUUGGGUCACCUGUUUAACUCGUUGAGCUAUACGGGUGCCCAAUGAUUUCUCUUUUAAAGACAACUGCUCUAUAGUGUUUUUCACAGCCCAUUUUACAUUAUUUCAUCAUAUGGCAUGUUUUUACGACAUGUUGAAAAAAUGACAUUCUCAGUCUUUUUUCAGUGACGUACCCCCUGUGUACUGUUUUUUCAUUCAAGUACCCCCCAACCAAGCAAAGCAUUUUAGGCUUACAAAAAGAGACAAAGUACAGCACUACGUCAUCAGUUUGAUAUAUCAAUGCAAAAAAAUGCUAAUUUGUCGCCGUCUUUCUUCAACUACUUGGAGAUAAGAAACUAUGAAAAAUAAAUAGAUUCAACUGUAAAUAAAGAUUUCUACACAGAAAUCAUCAAACGUAAAGUAAAAAUGUCAUAGUUUGGUAUGUUGUCCAAAAGUGGACUAAAAACAUCAUAGUUUACUAUGUCAUCCAAAAUUGGACUAAAAUGGUUUAUUGUCGUUCAAAAUGUCACAUAUCGUACAUGUGUAGUACAGUACUGGGGUACCCUACAUGUACAAUACCUGAUAUUCAUCCUCUUGAU
This is a long non-coding RNA of Acanthochromis polyacanthus (spiny chromis), 1306 nucleotides long. RefSeq lists it as uncharacterized. NCBI's taxonomy places the organism in Eukaryota, Metazoa, Chordata, Actinopteri, Pomacentridae. The record is from RefSeq and is a predicted model, not a curated record. The transcript has 5 exons.